GACGAACGCUGGCGGCGUGCUUAACACAUGCAAGUCGAACGGAAAGGCCUGCUUGCAGGGUACUCGAGUGGCGAACGGGUGAGUAACACGUGGGUGAUCUGCCCUGCACUUCGGGAUAAGCCUGGGAAACUGGGUCUAAUACCGGAUAGGAGCCAUUUUUAGUGUGAUGGUUGGAAAGUUUUUUCGGUGUAGGAUGAGCUCGCGGCCUAUCAGCUUGUUGGUGGGGUAAUGGCCUACCAAGGCGGCGACGGGUAGCCGGCCUGAGAGGGUGGACGGCCACAUUGGGACUGAGAUACGGCCCAGACUCCUACGGGAGGCAGCAGUGGGGAAUAUUGCACAAUGGGCGCAAGCCUGAUGCAGCGACGCCGCGUGGGGGAUGACGGCCUUCGGGUUGUAAACUCCUUUCGCUAGGGACGAAGCUUUUGUGACGGUACCUAGAGAAGAAGCACCGGCUAACUACGUG
RNAcentral lists this ribosomal RNA (463 nucleotides) under uncultured bacterium. RNAcentral describes it as "partial 16S ribosomal RNA". It matches the Rfam family "Bacterial small subunit ribosomal RNA", at positions 28 to 507 of the family's 1533-position model. The record is from RNAcentral.